AACGAACGCUGGCGGCAGGCCUAACACAUGCAAGUCGAACGCUCCGCAAGGAGAGUGGCAGACGGGUGAGUAACGCGUGGGAACCUUCCCAGUGGUACGGAAUAGCUCAGGGAAACUUGAGGUAAUACCGUAUGAGCCCGAAAGGGGAAAGAUUUAUCGCCAUUGGAUGGGCCCGCGUAGGAUUAGCUAGUUGGUGAGGUAAUGGCUCACCAAGGCGACGAUCCUUAGCUGGUUUGAGAGAAUGACCAGCCACACUGGGACUGAGACACGGCCCAGACUCCUACGGGAGGCAGCAGUGGGGAAUAUUGGACAAUGGGCGCAAGCCUGAUCCAGCCAUGCCGCGUGAGUGACGAAGGCCUUAGGGUUGUAAAGCUCUUUUGGCGGGGACGAUAAUGACGGUACCCGCAGAAUAAG
Molecule: ribosomal RNA, 414 nt
Filed under: bacterium Ellin6503
Lineage: Bacteria
Description: bacterial SSU rRNA
Rfam family: Bacterial small subunit ribosomal RNA
Source: RNAcentral